CGUGUCGUGAGAUGUUCGGUUAAGUCCGCUAACGAGCGCAACCUCGUCGUAUGUUAUAUGUGUCAUACGAGACUGCCGGUAAAAGCCGGAGGAAGGUGAGGAUGAUGUCAAGUCAGCAUGACCUUUAUAUCCAGGGCUACACACGACGCUACAAUGGUCUGUACAAUGGGUAGCCAAGCCGCGAGGCGGAGCCAAUCCUGAAAGCAGGCCUCAGUUCAGAUUGCAGUCUGCAACUCGACUGCAUGAAGCCGGAGUUGCUAGUAACCGCAGGUCAGCAAUACUGCGGUGAAUACGGUUCCCGGGUCUU
RNAcentral lists this ribosomal RNA (307 nucleotides) under uncultured Anaerolineaceae bacterium. RNAcentral's name for it is "bacterial SSU rRNA". It matches the Rfam family "Bacterial small subunit ribosomal RNA", at positions 1061 to 1382 of the family's 1533-position model. The record is from RNAcentral. Lineage: Bacteria; Bacillati; Chloroflexota; Anaerolineae; Anaerolineales; Anaerolineaceae.